UCUCUACACCACAAAAAGGGGUCGUAAGGGCGGUUAGCUUGAGGGGCAAGUCCCAUUUUGCUCAACCGCCCUCUCACGCCGCUUAAAAUUUUAGGUAAUAAAUAAUAAAUGCCUGAUUUUUAGACCAGUUAAACACAGUAGAACGUAUACGCACGCGUAUAUAUAUUUACAUAGAGGAGAAGGGCAAUUUGGACGCAACAGUGGAGCUAGGGUUUGUAUUGCUAUUGAAUUGCUGAGCGUGUAGCGUGGGAGGCCAGUAAGGAAUGAAGGAGGAGGGGCUUUGCAGGUGGAAAGCUUUUUGUUUCACUUGAGCCGUUGGACCUGCAGGUUCUGAGUCUUGACCUUGCUUCUCUGUCUCCGCUCUUUUUUGAAUCUAAAAUUUCGACCUCCAAUUUGGUUGUGUUUGUGCAUUUUAAGGGCAUCUGGGUGGAGUCUUGAAAAAUUUGAGCCUCCGAUAAGUUCCCUUUAAAUAUAUUUACGAAGCAAUUGUAUGUAUGAUGACUUUCCAGUAUAACCUUGACCCUCUGCUAAAUUUGGCUGUGCGCUAAAUUUAGGUUUGUAUUAGGGUGCCAAAACAUGGUAGUUUAGGAAGCGAUUUUUCAUAUAGUGCCGUCUGAUGGAGAAAGCGUGGGUUUGAAUUUUGUGGUGCUAAAUCUGACCCUGAAAUGAUCUCGUUACGAUUUCUAAAAUUAGGACUUGAUCUGCCCUUUGGAAGUCGGUCUUUUAUGGCUUCGUUAUGGUUGUUUUAUGGUGCAAUUGAGGUGUUGCCAUUUUCGUGGCUAAUUUUGGGUUUGUAGUGACCCAUUCAGGCUUUUGUAAUUCUGGGACUCCAAAUUGGCGCUGUAACUUGGGGGGUUCUUUUUUGGUCUUGCUGGGGUCGUUUCAUGGUGGAACUGGGGUUUGUUUGGCGAAAUGACAUUUUGACUAUUGAGGAUUGUUUUAUGGUUCUGUUGGGGUUUUAAUAAUGAUACUGCAAGCUGGAAGCAAUUCUCUGUUCUAUAUGUUGUUUGCCUUCGUUUUGAUGUAAAAUGUGGCAUCAGAUUUUGGUGUAUAGUUUAACCUCUUGUUAGGGGUUGUUGUAGAUUAUGGUGUUGCAGUGAAAUUGUAAAUAAUCGCACUGCAAUUGAAACGGUUUGGGGUGUAAAUUGGUGUUGUUUGUGAUGAAGUGCGAAAAGAAGCAUUUCUGUCGGCUUGGCAGAAAGAUUUUGGAGAGAGCUCAAAUGAAACUAAAACAACGAAAUAAAUAUAGUUUCUUGUCCUCAGGAAGAGGAACAUUUAAGUGGGGACGGAAAAAUGGAAUUAACCGUGGCAAGGACAAGUGUUCGAAAUGUAGUUGUGUGUAUCAGUGCUGUUCUGGCAAGGCAGCGUUGCAUAACUAUGAGAAUUUUCGUAAGAGUUCAGUGCCAAUGAGGGUGAUGUAUUUUUGGAAUGGCUCAUGGAAUGAUUUUUCUGUCCAAGUUUUGGAUUCUCUUAGAGUUGAGUUUUUGGCUGGCAUGCCCACUGUAGAGUUGGUGAUAGAUGGUUCACCAUAUCUCGUUGAUUUUUUGCGAAUGCUGCAAAUAGAUUUGAGGGCCGGCUGUCAAAGGUCCAUUGCCUGGAUUGAUGUGAAUGGAUCAUGCUUUUUCCCUAAAUUUAUCAUUGAGGGUAACGCCGAUGAAGAAUUUGCUCCUAAAGUUGAGGUUGAGAUUGAAAUUCGAAUAAGCCCAACUGAGGCCUCGAAUGCUGAUAAUUGUGAUACAGUUGCUGCUAAUAUGGAGGUUUCGAAAACUGAGCAAGUUUGUUUUCCGGGUAGUUUCGGAGUUUCGAAAACAAGGAUAAAUAAGCUUCCUGGUGACUUUAAGCUCUUGACCAAGGUUCCAAAUUUGAAGCCUGUGGCUGAUGUGGUAUCAAUGAAUGGCCCUAAAUUAGAUGGACUGAUCAAGAAAUCUUCAUCUGAGGGCCGCACUGGUGCAAAUGAAUUGGAUAGAGAUCUAAGAAAUACAAACUUGUGUAAGGAUCCAAAGCCAGAGCCUGUGAGUGAGUUACCAACAAAUGCUUUCAAAGCAAAGCACUUUCUUCAUAAAACAUCAACUGAGGUGCGAACAGGUACAGAUGAAUUGGACAGAGGCCUUUUGGAUGCAGGCAUGUCUAAGCUUCCAAGAAGCCAACUAGAGAAUGCAACAUUGCCCAGGGUCUUCACAGGUGCAACACAGUUGGAGAACGGUAUCCAGGUAUCGCGUGAUGAGGUUGGGGGUGGUGUCAUUAAUCACAAUUUGCUUUCUGAAUCCCAACAAUGUUCUAGUCUUGUGACUUGUGAAUUUGAACAGCUGGGAGACAAACUGAUCAAAUUAGUGGAUUGCGAUAAAGAGUAUGUACCUGUGAAAAAUUGUUUCCUUACUGGCCUAAAUAAAAUUGGACUUGCAACCAAUGUUACUGGUAUUUAUCGAAAUUCACAUACAGGUAGGCUGGGACAGGCUCGGUUGCAGGUUUUCAACAAGCAGGUUGAGAUAACAAGAAAUUCUCGUGGUAAUGCAAAUGUUAAAUAUGCAUGGCAUGGGGCAUCCUCUACAAGUAUAUCAUCAAUUAUACUGCAUGGUUUUAGCAAUAACAGGUUACUGGAUGGUGGUCCGGCAUAUGGUUUUGGUGUUUAUCUCGCUCCAGAAGAUUGCUCCUAUUUGAGUGUUCCAUUUUCAGACUUAGACAGUAAUGGUGAACAGUAUGUUGUGUUGUGCCGAGUUAUUUUGGGGAAUGUUGAGGAAGUUCCUCUUGGCUCUCAUCAGUUUCAUCCCAGCUGUGAGAAGUUUGAUUCUGGCAUUAAUGAUAUCAGCAAUCCAAAGCAUUACAUUGUAUGGAGCACUCACAUGAAUACACACAUUUUGCCAGAAUAUGUUGUCAGUUUUAAGGCUCCUCACCAGUCCACUGCUUGUUCAGAUGGAUUGAAAGCAAAUGAAGCCGUUUCUGAUAUUUGCAGAAAUACGAGGAGUGAUUUGCAAUGUACUCAAGUAGCCAAUGAAUUUUCUGUUUAUGAGAUGGAGCCUUGCAUAGACAACAACAAAGAAAACCAGCAUAAGGUACAGGUUCCUAGAAGAGAAUCUGUGCCAAUGCCCGGUUCAGGUCACAUGCCAUUUAUGGACUUACUAUCUAUUAUUGGAAAUUUUCUUCCUACAGCUCAUAUUAAAUUAUUGGAACGUCAAUACACUCAGUACAAGGCAGGAAGAAUUAGCAGAGAUAUGUUCAUAAGGAAGGUGAGGAUGAUUGCUGGUGAUAAGUUGCUGAUUGAAGUUAUUCGAAACAUUAAAGGACGAAACAUUAAAGGACAGGUGACUAGAGCAAAGCGUGUUCCCCAAUCUCUUUUUGAUUCAGAGAGAAUUAACAUGGAUGAUCGAUCUACCUUAUUUAUGGGUCAGACUCAAUAUCAUCAUCAUUUUAAGAGAUGGAUAUGGAGUGAUUAAUUUUCAAUGGGGAGGACGAAGUACUCCAACCAGCGCCUUCUUGUAGUUAUGAACUACAUUAGACUGAAGCAAAAGGAAUUGGCAACUGAAUAAUUGGGUCAAGGGUUUCUAAUUGGAUAGGAAUAAAUUAUUACUGAUUGACGAUAAACGAGAGAAUACUCUCUACAUGGCAAUACGGGACAAUGGAUCUCAAGAUUAAUCCUGAAGGUUUCUGCUAUCAUGUUUAUAAAUACACGCAAGUUUCAGCUAUAUGUUUAUAAUAUUCUUGAUAUAGUGGAUGCCUUACGUAGUGUUCUUUUGACUUCAUCAUAAUGCAAUUCUUGAUCUCAAAUUGUAAUUUUGUCAGAAUGCUCUUUUGUCCAAGCAACUGGUGGUCUGCAGCUUCCGAGCUUCUGUGUUUUGUGGCUACUUAAUGAAAAAUUGCAAUACAGGACGGUGGAUCUCAAGUUUUAUUGCCAAAGGUUACUACUAUCAGAGCUGCAAAUGCACGGGAGUUUCAGCAAUAGUUUUUCUAGCGUUCUUGAUACAGCAGAGGCAUUGAGUAGGUUUAUCGUGCUUACAUGUCAAGUUGUAAUUAUUUCAGGUUGCAAUGAUGUCCAAUCAACUUGAGGUCUGCAACUUCUGAGCUUCUGUAUUUUGUGCCCUACUUAAUGGAACAUUCUAAUGGAGAGAAUGAUUAAAUGGACUACUUCAUUUUGACACUUCAAGACGUUUUCGUAUUUGUUUCUUCUGAAAUUAAAUGAAUUUGAUUUGCUUUGUUUGGUCUUUCA
Cryptomeria japonica (Japanese cedar) is the source of this 4201-nucleotide RNA transcript. It is a transcript of the gene named inactive poly [ADP-ribose] polymerase RCD1, with no coding region annotated. Lineage: Eukaryota; Viridiplantae; Streptophyta; Pinopsida; Cupressales; Cupressaceae. The record is from RefSeq and is a predicted model, not a curated record. The transcript has 10 exons.